CCCUAGCCCAGAUAGCAGCAAAAAUCCUUUUAUUUUUUUUGGAUUUGCGAGGAACGAAGCAAUCUAAAAAAAGAAAAGAUUGUAGCGAAUAGCUGGAAAUAGC
This 103-nucleotide small RNA is filed under the name Flavobacterium weaverense. RNAcentral's name for it is "Flavo-1 RNA". It matches the Rfam family "Flavo-1 RNA". The record is from RNAcentral. Lineage: Bacteria; Pseudomonadati; Bacteroidota; Flavobacteriia; Flavobacteriales; Flavobacteriaceae.